This is a non-coding RNA of Oryctolagus cuniculus (rabbit), 4393 nucleotides long. The record is from RefSeq and is a predicted model, not a curated record. Lineage: Eukaryota; Metazoa; Chordata; Mammalia; Lagomorpha; Leporidae.
ACAGUGCCAGCCCUGGAGCAUGAGGAGGGGAACACUGGCCCUGGAGGUGAGGAGGGGAGCAGAGUUUGGCCCUGGAGGGAGGCCAGGGCCGGGCCUGAGGGGAGAAGGGCCCGACCCUGCAGGCUGAGGAGGGGAUUGGGGCCCAGCUCUGGAAUGUCGUGAGGGGAGCAGGGCCUGGCCCUGAAGGACAGCAAUGGGAGCUGGGCCCAGGCCCUGGUGGGCAACUAGGGGAGUGGGGCCCAGGCCCUGGAGGACAAGGAGAGUGGGGCAGCCCUGCUGGGUGUCUAGUGCCACAACUGAAGGGAGCAGGGCCUGGCUCUGUAGGGCAUGGAGAGGAGAAGGAGCCCAGCCCUAGAGGGUUGCCAGGGCCCUGCCUGAGGGGAUCAUGGCCCUGGAGGGCAAGGAGGAGAGAGGGGCAUGUCACUGGAGCGUGGCCAGGGCCCUGCCUGUGCUCUGGAGCCUAUGUCCUGUGGCCUGUGACCUGUGUCCUGAAAUCUGUCCUGUGUCCUGUAGCCUGAGUCCUUUCGCCUGUGUUCUGUGUUGUGUAGCCUGUAUCUUGUAGCCUGUGUGUUGUGUUGUAGGCGUGUGUCCUGUGGCCUGUAUCCUGUGUCCUAUGUUCUACAGCCUGUGUCCUGUAGCCUGUGUCCUGUGUCCUGUUUUGUGGCUAGUGUGUGUGUCCUGUGGCUUCUGUCUUCUUUCCUAUAACUUGUGACCUAUAGCUUGUCCUAUAGAGUGUAGCUUGUGUGCUGUAGCCUGUGUCCUCUAUCCUGUGUCCUAUGUCCAUUAGCCUUUUCAUGUGGCCUGUGUCCUUGUCCUGUAGACAGUGUCCCAUUGCCUGUGUCCGAUAGCAUGUGUCCUAUAGCCUGUGUCCUUUGUCCUGUGUCCUGUGUCCACUGGCCUGUUUCUUUCUGCAUGUGUCCUGUGGCCUAUGUCCUGUGUCCAGUGUAGUGUUGCCUCUGUCCUAUAGCUGGUGUCCUGUGUCUUGUUCCCUCUGUCCUUUAGCCUGUGUCAUGUUGCCUGUGUCUUGUGUCCUGUAGCUUAUUUCCUGUGGCCCAUAUCCUGUGUCUUGUGUCCUGUAGCCUGUGUCUUAUGUCCUGUGUUCAGUGUCCUGUAGCCUUUGUAUUAUGUCUGAUAGUCUGUUUCCUUUGUCCUUUGUCCUAUAGGCUAUAUCCUAUCCUCUGUGUCCCAUGUCUUGUAUCCUCUGAUCUGUGUCCUGUAGCUGUGUCAUGUGUUCCAUAUUCUGUGUCCUGUAGCCUCAGUCCUGUGUCCCGUGUCCUAUGUUGUGUAGCCUGUGUCCAGUAUCUUGUAGCCUGUGGCCUAUGUAUGCAACCUGUGUCCUGUGGUCUGUGUCCUCUAGCUGGUGUCCUAUGUCCCCUAGCCUGUGUCCCGUGUAUUGAGCCUGUGUCCUGAGCCUGUGUCGAGUGUCCUGUAGUCUGUGUCCUGAGCCUGUGUCCUGUGUCCUAUAUCCUGUGGCCUGUAGUCUUUGUCCUAAAGCUGGUGUCUCUUUGUAGUAGCCUGUGUCCUGUGUCCUGAGCCUGUGUCGAGUGUCCUGUAGUCUGUGUCCUGUGCCUGUGUCCUGUGUCCUAUAGCCUGUGUCCUGUAGUCUUUGUCCUAAAGCUGGUGUCUCUUUAUAGUAGCUUAUAUCCUGUGUACUGAAGCUGGUUUCUUGUAGCCUGUGGACAAUGUCCUGUAGUCUGUGUCCUGUGUCCUGUAGCCUGUGCCCUGUGCUCUGGAUCCUAUGUCCUGUGGCCUGUGACCUGUGGCCUCUGUCUUGUGUCAUGUAGCCUGUGUCCUGUAGUCCGUGGCCUAUGUCCCAUAGCUGUGGCCUUUGUCCUGUGGCCGGUGUGCUGUAUGCUGUGGUGCAGGAUAUUGGAUAUGGCUACAGAACACAGGUUACAGGACACAGGACAGAGGCCACAGGUCACAGGCCACAGGCUACAGGAUUCAGGGCAUAGGCCAGAGGAAACAGGACACAGGAUAGAGGACACAGAAUACAGAACCAAGGACACAGGCUAGAAAUCAGGCUAUGGGACACAGGACACAGGCUACAUGACACAGAACACAGGACAUAAGAUAGAGGCUAUGGGACACAAGACACAGGACAUAGGCCACAGGACACAGGCUACAGCACAGAGGCCACAGGCUACAGGACACAGGACAUAGCCCAGAUAACACAGGACAAGGGAUAUAAGACACAGAAUAGCGAACACAGGACACAUGAUACAGGACACAGGUUACAGGCUCAGGACAUGGGCCAAAGGCUACAGGACACAGGUUACAGGCUACAGGAGACAGGACAAAGGCUAAAAAACAUAGGACACAGGACACAGGCUACAGGACAUAGGGACAGGCUACAGGACUCAGGACACAGGCUAUAUACAUAGGACACAGGUCACAGGACAGAGGCUCAGGACAGAGGCUAUGGGACACAGGACAGAACUACAGAUCAAAGGAUACAGGCCACAGGCUACAUGACACAGGAAUCAGGCUACACGACACAGGCUGAAGGAAAGAGGGAACAAGACACUGGACACUGGUUAUAGGAUAGAGUGUCCUGUAGCCUGUGUCCCAUAGCCAUUGUCCUGUGGCCUGUGGCCUGUGUCCUAGAUUGUGUAGCCUGUGUCCUGUGUCCUGUAGCCUCUGUCCUGUGUCCUGUAGCUUGUCGCCUAUGUCUUGUGUCCUGCAUCCUGUGUCCCGUAGCCUGUGUCCUCUAGGCUGUGUCCUGGUUCCAUAUUCUGUGUCCUAUAUCCUGUGUCUUGUGUCAUCUGGGCUAUGUCCUUUGUCCUGUAGCCUGUGUCCUCUGUCCUGUAGCCUUGGUCCUGUGUCCUGUAGCCUGUGGCCUCUGUCCUGUGACAUCACAGACUACUGGACACAAUACACAGGUUACAGGACCCAGAACACAGGACAUAAGACACAGGCUAUAGGACUCAAGACACAGGACAUAGGCCAAAGGACACAGGCUACAGCACAGAGACCACAGGCUACAGGACACAGGGCAUAGCCCAGAUGACACAGGACACAGGAUAUAGGACACAGAAUACCGAACACAGGACACAGGCUAUGGGACACAGGUUACAUGAUACAGGAUAUAGUCCACAAUACACAGGAAUUAGGCCACAGGCUACAGACCACAGGACAUAGCCCAGAUGACACAGGACACAGGAUAUAGGACACAGAAUUUUGAACACAGGACACAGGCUAUGGGAUUCAGGUUACAGGCUCCAGGAUAUAGUCCACAGGCUACAGGACACAGGUUACAGGCUACAGGAGACAGGACAAAGGCUAAACAAUAUAGGACACAGUCCACAGGCUAUAGGACACAGGGACAGGAUACAGGGCUCAGGAUACAGGACACAGGACCCAGGCUACAGGACACAGGACAAAGGCUAAAGGACGAGGACACUGGCUACAGGUCACAGGACUGAGCCUCAGUGUACAGCACACUGGCCACAGGACAAAGGGCACAGCUAUAGAAUAUAGGACACAGACUACAGAACACAGGACACAGGGUAGAGGACAUGGACACAGGCUGCAGCACACAGGCUACAGGAUACAGGCUACACAAGAUAGAACACAAGCUACAGCUUUCAGGGCAUAGGCCAGAGGGAUACAGGACACAGGAUACAGGACACAGAACACAGAACCCUGGACACAGGCUAGAACACAGGCUAAGGGACAUAGGUUACAUCUAGAGGCCACAGGAUUUAGAACACAGGAUACAAGACAUAGGACACAGGACACAGGACGCACGACAGAGGCUACAGGACACAGGACACAGGAUCCUCAAUGCAUACAUAGGCCAUAGGCUACAAGACAGAGGACGCAGGCUACAUGACACAGGAUGAAGGACACAGGAAACAAGACACAGGACACAGGUUAUAUGACAAAGGCCACAGGCCACAGGACAAAGGCUGCAUGGCAUAGUCCACAGGCUACAGGAGCCGGGCUACAGGACACAGGAUACACAACAAAGGAUACAGGACACAGAAUACAGGACACUGGUUAAGGAAUACAGACUACAAGCUACAGGACACAGGUUACAGGACACAGCAUACUUGAUACAGGACACAAGCUACAUGACACAGGCUGAAGGAAAGAGGAAACAAGACACAAGACACCAGCUAUAGGACAGAGGCCACAGGACACAGGACAAAGCCUGCAUGGAAAAGGCCAAAGGCUACAGGCUAUAGGCCACAGGACAUAGGCCAUAGAUUACAGGACACAGGCUACACAACAUAUGACAAACAUCACAGGAUACAGGCUACAGGACCUAGGCCCCAGAGCUCAGAGAACAGGCUACAGGACACAGGACACACACUACAGGACAUUGUCCACAGGCUACAAGAAAUGGGCUUCAGGACACAGGACACAGACUACAGCAAAGAGGACACCA